Molecule: ribosomal RNA, 169 nt
Filed under: Lentzea waywayandensis
Lineage: Bacteria; Bacillati; Actinomycetota; Actinomycetes; Pseudonocardiales; Pseudonocardiaceae
Description: 23S rRNA. Bacterial LSU
Rfam family: Bacterial large subunit ribosomal RNA
Source: RNAcentral
CGGAAGGGAUAACCGCUGAAGGCAUCUAAGCGGGAAGCUCGUUCCAAGAUGAGGUAUCCCACCCUUUGUGGGUUAAGGCCCCCAGCUAGACCACUGGGUUGAUAGGCCAGAGGUGGAAGACCGGUAACGGUUGGAGCUGACUGGUACUAAUAGGCCGAGGACUUGUUAC